GGACGAACGCUGGCGGCGUGCUUAACACAUGCAAGUCGAGCGGUAAGGCCCUUUCGGGGGUACGACGAGCGGCGAACGGGUGAGUAACACGUGGGUGACCUGCCUUUAGCUCGUGGGAUAAGCCUGGGAAAACCGGGUCUAAUACCGGAUAUGACUCCGCGGCGCAUGUUGUGGGGUGGAAAGCCUUGUGCGGCUGGAGAUGGGCCCGCGGCCUAUCAGCUU
Molecule: ribosomal RNA, 222 nt
Filed under: uncultured bacterium
Lineage: Bacteria
Description: partial 16S ribosomal RNA
Rfam family: Bacterial small subunit ribosomal RNA
Source: RNAcentral